ACACACAACACGCACACACAAGUUUAUCAUCUUAUAGUUCUGGAGGGUGGAAGUCCAACAUGCCUCUCUCUGGGCUGAUUCCAGGUGUCUGCAGGGCUGGCUCCUUUUGAUGGCUCGAGGGCAGCGUCUGUUUCCUGGCCAGUUCCUACUUCUAGAGGCUGCCAGCAGGCCUUGGUUAUGGCCCCUACCUCCUCCACAAAACCAGCAGCCUCGAGCUGAGUCCGUCUCUCUGGUUUUCUCUCUCCUGGCCCCUCUUCCAUUUAUAAGGACUCCCAUGACUGUGUUGGGCCCACCCCAAUAAUCCAGGAUAAUCUCCCCAUCUCAGGUCAGCUGACCAGCAAACUUAAUUCCCUCUGCAAACUUAAUUCCCCCUUUGCCGUGUAAGGUAGCUGUGACAUUGGGAUUUAUAUAAUAAAAAAUAUCUAUUUGGUCUUCGUCCUUGUUCCUGGCACAGAGCUCCUACAACCCGUGGAAUUUCCUAAGUGUUGCGAGUGAAAAAGGUAUCUUCUGUUAUGUGAAGGAGGUGACUUUUAGGAGCUGGUUGCCUUGAAAACCAACCAUGUGAUGGAGGGUUGGAACUUCCAGUCCCACCCCUGACCUCUGGAGAGGGGCGAGGGCUGGAGAUCGAGUUCAAUCACCAAUGGUUAAUGAUUUAAUCAGCUCGUGUAUGUAAUGAAGUCUUCAUCAAAACCCAAAAGGACGGGGUUCAGCGAGCUUCCGGGUUGGUCAACACCUGGAGACGGGGGGAGAAUGGUGCCUGAGGAGGACAUGGAAGUUCAUCCCCCUGUUCCCAUCCCUUCCCUACCCAUGUCUUUCAUCUGGCUGUUCCUGAGUUAUAUCCUUUAUAAUAAACUGGGAAUCUGGACCUGGACGUCUUUGGGGGGACACUUAUUCUGCAACCACAGAGGUUCGACCAGCCUUCACUCCCACCAGCGCUCCAGCUUCAGCCUCAGCCAGAUGCAUUGCUUGUAAUUCCCAAAAGCAGGAUUUUAAAACUUACUGUGGAACAAUUGGUAUUGAACGUCAGGAUGUGUUAAGAAGGAAACGUGAUUCCUAAAUUCCGGAAGCCUCAGGAGGAAGGAGCUCGGAAUCCAGGACACACGCAUGGCCCCAACCCGUGAGGGAAAGAUAGGAGUUCUAGCUGCUGAGAUGAAACUUCUGAGUCAUUGUGGACAAAGCCGUACAGUUGAAAAGCACAGGUUUCUAUGAAGCAGCUUUUCCUUCCUGCUGUAGAUUCCAGAAAGGGAGGGAAGGCAGAUCCAACAUGGAAGAGGUCAAUGAGAAGCUGGACCAUCAGGGUGGACAUCGCCCUGGGGGCUGUGUGACUGAGAAAGCCGAUUAACCUCGACGAUGCUCGUUUUCCUGGCUCAUAAAAUGGGGGUGAUGAUAGGUAUGAUAUAACUUUAAAAAGCAACUUGGAGAUCCUGAGCAGUGCACGCCAUCCAGGAAACGAGAAAUUCUUGUCCCAGUCUCGGUCCUCAAGUACCACCCCUAUAAGUUUCCAGGUCUAAAUAUACAGAUGUUUUGCCAGACAUUUAUCAUUUGUACAUUGAAAUAACAAACUACUUGCAAGUUGAUUUACCCUCCAAAAGAAGUAGCAUUUCCAAUAUUGAGUCAAAGAUACUGAAGAGGCUUUAAAGUUUUCCACAUUAGCCGUCUGUGUCAAGUAACAAUAAGGUGCUUGUUUUUAAGUGAAAAGCCCCAUUCUAUGUGUUUCCCGCUGAGCUGGGUGUUGAUUGUCUGCAGGCAGCCCAGCGACCCUGCCGGCCGCUGUCUGUCCUGCUUUUACAAUCAGUCCUGGGGAGCUUUGAAGCAGCAGAAGAUGCCUCUGAGGGUUUAUCUGAAAGGCCUCAUUGUAGUCCGUCUGGUUGUUUUUAGAGCUGGCUGGAAAAGAGAUCUCUCUAGAUACCGUGCUUAGAAAUCAGUAUGCACGUGUGGUUUCCACUGUCUAAUUAAUUCAAAAUGAUCACGAGAAACUUUGUCCUCUCUACGCAAGGCACAGAGAGAGAAUGACUUUUGACCUUUAAUCCCAGUUCCUACCCUGACAAAAGUACCCAAUGGCUUUGAGCGCAUCAUUUCAACCCCCCAGCUUCUGCCGGGUGCUGAGGAGCCUGGGGUCCUAAUUAGUCCUUGAGGGGACUGGAGGGGACGUGAACUGGACAGAUCCUGCCUGAGGGACCAGGACUCUGAAGGGGAGGGCAGAGCUGGCGUGCACCCUGGGGCUGCCCAGAGCUGACCCAAUUUUGCAGCACCAUCCUCUCUGCAAACCAUCAGCCUGUCCUUCAAAAUCUCUUCUUUCUAUCUAGUCACCUUGCUCUUCCAUCGCCGCCCGUGGUGGACAUUGGGGUCACUGAGACGGGCGUGCUCCUAUAUUUUAGACUUUUCUGGCAUCUGUAGUGUAAACACAGCCCAGGUGGAUCCAAGGUUCGUAGGUUUGAAGAACCAUGAACAGAGGGAGGAUGGAGCAUCUGCUUUCCUACGAGCAACAUGCACAAGGGGGCGGCUUCAGUCUAGGACCCCAACGCUUAACUUGUCAUUUUGCCACCUGUUUUCAGACCCUGUCCAAUUUAGACUCUUGAGAGAUUACUAUUUCUAAAGUUAAACAGUCGAUUAAACAGGAUUUGGUUUAGCCCAUCAUAGAUGUUAAAGAUUAAACCAGACCGAGGAGGGAAAACAGCCCACAAUGGAGGCACCCGCCCUCAUUAGGACCUGAGCUGGCACUGCCAUGCCAUGCGGGAGCUCUUGACACUUUUCCAGCAAGAUGCCCACACACCGGUGAGUGGCUGUCCUGGCCACUCCAGGAAGACAGGGACACGGACAGUCCCGUCUUCUUCACCCUUGAUGUCAGGGAGGGUGGCAGUGCUCUCUGAGGACAGCCAUUGUUGGCAGAACCCUGGAUGUGAGAAUUUCAUUGUUCUGCCCUGAGUGGCACUGAGUUACCAGAGCUGGGGGGCACAGGGUAAGGUGGGACUGACCUGCCCCUGUGCCCGGACAAGAGGCUCUUGGAUCCGCCUGGGUGCUCAAAAAUGGCAGGAGUUAAGAAGGCUCCCGGAGAGCCAUGCACCAGGGACGGCUCCGUGCUGGGAGGGGGACCCCAGCAACCAAGAGCAGUGACUGUGCCUGUGGACCCCCGGUGCCCACGGUCAGGGUGCUGAGCCACUGUCGACAGCGUGGGACAGAGCACAUCCCUCCGUCCCGAGAACCGCUUCUCCUGCCUUCGACUCACGGAGCCUGUUGGAUUGAAAACAAAAUGCCAGAGAGAGUUCCCAGGUUGCUCCUCCAAGGAGCCAAAGAGAACCCAGAAAUGAGAAGAUGUCAGGGGGCCGGCCUGUGGCUGAGUGGUUAAAAGUUCUGUGCGCUCUGCUUCGGCAACCCAGGUAUGCGGGUUUGGAUCCUGGGCUCUGACCCACUCCACUCAUCAGCCAUGCUGUGGAGGCAUCUCAUAUACAAAAUAGAGGAAGAUUGGCACAGAUGUUAGCUCAGGGUAAAUCUUCCUCACCAAAAAAGAAAAGAAAGAGAAGAUGCCAGCAGCAGUGGUCUGGGGCCAGGCUCCCAGAAUCGCGACCUCCUCUGCAUCCAGACCCCCUCAUCCAACAAGGGUGGUGGCCUGGGACAAGGUCACUGCAGAGGAGGAACCUGAGCAGGGACCCUGAUCACCUGCCCAGCUGCCCCUCUCCCAGUGCAUCAAACAAGCAAACUCUUAUUCCUGCUCUUCUGGAUGGAAGGAGCAAAAGCAACCCGAGCCAUAAACAUGAACGUGGAGUGAAGGCUGGCAGAAGCUGUAGGGGGGAAUUCGCUUAUUCCAGGGGUGCACAGACCCGCACAUGCACAGCGCCUUGGGUAUCGGUCCAAAGCAGCUCUUCAGGGAGGCUCAUCACAUACCAGCUCUGGUCCCACCCUUCACGGCAGCAUGAAUCCAUCCCAGGCUAGUAUUAGCUCUCACAGAAGAAUGGGGAUUUGGGUGAAAUAGUUUGGGUAGAAAAUGAGAACAAAUGGAGACAGGGUCGUGCAAAUGAUCCAGAGCUAGUUUGUUAGUUACAUGCAAGUCCCUGAAGAAAAAAGAUGUAAUUGCAAGAAUGUCUAAAUUGUUACAAUAUAAAUAAAGGAUUUACGAAAACA
Long non-coding RNA from Equus quagga, 4119 nucleotides. RefSeq lists it as uncharacterized. The record is from RefSeq and is a predicted model, not a curated record. NCBI's taxonomy places the organism in Eukaryota, Metazoa, Chordata, Mammalia, Perissodactyla, Equidae. The transcript has 3 exons.